CAUGCNAGUCGUGGGGCAGCGGGUGUAGCAAUACAUGCCGGCGACCGGCGCACGGGUGCGUAACGCGUAUGCAACCUACCUUUAACUGGAGGAUAGCCCCGAGAAAUCGGGAUUAAUACUCCAUAACAUUGCGAAAAGGCAUCUUUUUGCAAUUAAAGCUCAGGCGGUUUUAGAUGGGCAUGCGUGACAUUAGCUAGUUGGUGAGGUGACGGCUCACCAAGGCUACGAUGUCUAGGGGUUCUGAGAGGAUUAUCCCCCACACUGGUACUGAGACACGGACCAGACUCCUACGGGAGGCAGCAGUAAGGAAUAUUGGUCAAUGGACGCAAGUCUGAACCAGCCAUGCCGCGUGACGGAUGACGGCCCUACGGGUUGUAAACUUCUUUUGUACGGGAAAAAACCCCUGAUCGUGUAUCGGGGCUGAUGGUACCGUAAGAAUAAGGAUCGGCUAACUCCGUGCCAGCAGCCGCGGUAAUACGGAGGAUCCAAGCGUUAUCCGGAUUUAUUGGGUUUAAAGGGUGCGUAGGCGGGAUGAUAAGUCAGUGGUGAAAUCCUACAGCUUAACUGUAGAACUGCCAUUGAUACUGUCAACCUUGAGUACAUUUGAAGUGGGCGGAAUGUGUCAUGUAGCGGUGAAAUGCUUAGAUAUGACACAGAACACCGAUAGCGUAGGCAGCUCACUAAACUGUAACUGACGCUGAGGCACGAAAGCGUGGGGAUCAAACAGGAUUAGAUACCCUGGUAGUCCACGCCGUAAACUAUGAUCACUCGAUGUGUGCGAUAUACUGUACGCGUCUGAGCGAAAGCAUUAAG
This 813-nucleotide ribosomal RNA is filed under the name uncultured bacterium. RNAcentral describes it as "SSU rRNA". It matches the Rfam family "Bacterial small subunit ribosomal RNA", at positions 54 to 864 of the family's 1533-position model. The record is from RNAcentral.